AUGUAUGAGUCUAGAAAAUGUAAUCAAAAAAUCAACCCAAAAAACCCUGGAUCAACCUAUCCACAAGUCAGUGGGAGUACUGUAUCUCAACUCUUAUCAAAAACAGAAGCACACCCUCUUCUGAGUAGACUGAAAAGUCAAGCAGGAGAAGCACCAACUCCCUUUACUUUCUGCAUUCAGGCAUUCAAAAAAGCCACUAAUUCUGGUCUUUUUAUAUACCUGGAUGGGGAAAUGGUGGUGGCAACUAGAGGCAGCUGGCCUCCUGAAGCAACUGCCAAAUUUGUUGUCUAACAUGAUGUUUUGGUGCUUCAUUUGUAAAAUCAUAACCUAAUUUGAUGUUUAAUAGGCUUUUCCUUAAUGCCUCCUUAUUAUCCAACAUAUUUGCUUAUCUAACAUUCUGCCGGCCCCUUUAUGUUGGAUAAGUGAGACUCUACUGUAAUUACAGAAUGAAGCAGAGCAAUGUUGUAAUGCCCUAGGAAACAUAAACACCAUACAUAUUUCUUACUUGCCUCUUCAAAAAACUUCAUUGACUAUGAAAUUGUGCCAGGCAGGUUUUUAUUCUGUCUAUAAGGACAUAUAUUUAAGAAUUUGAAUAUGCCAUAACAACAGAUCAAAUUUCAUUUUUAAAAAGUUCUGUGUUCUUAAAAGAGAAAGGAUGUCUAAUACCAAAACUAAAAGAAUACUUCCCAGUUGUUAUACAUUUUAGCAGUUGAUAAACUCAGUGGGAUGAAGUUUUUAGGAAUUUCAGAAUGUGCUUGAAAUCUAGCUAGAAUAUCCUGUGCCAUACUGAUCUGCAGCCUUAUGUUUUUAUUGCUAAAGAAAAAUAGUCCUUUGGCUUAUUUUACAUGUGGCUGCAAUACAAGAAUGCUGCAAACUUCAAACUGAUUUAAAUGACACUGAGUUAUUUAGGGCAAUGACAUCUUCCAAGUGGACUGAUAAAACCUCCAAGAUGAAACAACAGUGUAAAUGAUCAGGAAACAGUCCAUGUGAGGCCAGUGAACUUUGCAUUCAUGAGAACCCAGUGAACUUUGCAUUCAUGAGAACCCGGUCUUCAUUUGAUAGAGCCAUCCAAGAAAAGAGCCGGUAAGAUAGCAGGAAGGUCAAAGUGUCUGUCCUAUGAGGAAAGAAUAGAUGGAUUUCUAGAUUAGGUGGAAAGAUGACUAAAGGCAUGCAUGGCAGAGGUUUCUAAAAUAAUUAAUGGUGUAGAAAGAGAAGGUUGAUCUCCGCUUCCCUCCUCCCAGAACAGUUUUAGUUGGAGUCAUACAAUACCUCUACACAAAAUAGGAGAGAUAAAUAAAAACACUCCUUUAUUCAAUGCAGUUAACUUCAAGCAUCAUGCUGAACUACAAAGUGUGUGCAUGACUGUUUGUAUGCAGAGCCCAGUUUUAAAUAAGUCACUACAAACAGUUACUUGUAAUUAAUCCCUUUUGCCUACCUUGAAGCUGUACCUAAAUGACACCAUAAUAUUAGGAAAUACCUUUAUGCUUUCUGCAGUAUGAUUGCAACGGUCUCAUUGCUUUUCCCAAGUAAGAUUCAUUUGCUUCAGUGGAGCUUUCAAAAAGCAUAGCCUAGAAAGCCUGCAGUGGAUGGAGGAAUAAUGUUUUGUCCAUUGCAAUUGCACAAAACGAAUGUUAUUCUUUCCUUUGGGGCAAUAAUAUUCCUGCAACAGAUAAUGUCCUGCUUGUGGGAUAACUGUAUAAUUGAACCAUUAUUUGAUGUAUACAUUUUGUCAUUAAAAUGUGUUAAUUUCAUAAAACAGAGGCAGUCAAGUUGUUUCAUAAUUUCAGAAUCAAUUUUCAGUGAAAAAGGCUAUUAGACACGAAGGUACAUAAUUGCACUCUACUUUAAGUGCAAGCUUCAAAUUAUGGAGACUACGUAGCUGCAGAAAGAACUAGGCAACUGCUGCUUCUUUUCGUGAUACUACUAUAAUUUUUAAAGCUUAGGAACAAAUGAACACACACACACACCUAACUGCUUGCUAGCACUCAAAUGCCAAGCACUGCAAACGUUACUCAACCGUGUAGCCAGAAUCACAUUUAUUUGUUCUCUUA
Molecule: long non-coding RNA, 2051 nt
Organism: Anolis carolinensis (green anole)
Lineage: Eukaryota; Metazoa; Chordata; Lepidosauria; Squamata; Anolidae
Source: Ensembl